GACGAACGCUGGCGGCGUGCCUAACACAUGCAAGUCGAGCGGGGUUGAAGCGAGGGGUAACUCGAGUUUCUACCUAGCGGCGGACGGGUGAGUAACGCGUGGGCAACCUGCCUCAAGGACUGGGAUAACAGCUCGAAAGGGCUGCUAAUACCGGAUAAGCCUAUGGCCUCGCAUGGGGCCAUGAGCAAAGGGGAAACCCGCCUUGAGAUGGGCCCGCGUCCCAUCAGCUAGUUGGUGAGGUGAAGGCUCACCAAGGCGACGACGGGUAGCCGGCCUGAGAGGGUGACCGGCCACACUGGGACUGAGACACGGCCCAGACUCCUACGGGGGGCAGCAGUGGGGAAUCUUGCACAAUGGGCGAAAGCCUGAUGCAGCGACGCCGCGUGAGCGAAGAAGGCCUCGGUUGUAAGCUCUGUCUGGAGGGACGGAAGGAAGUAGACGGUACCGUCCGGACGGAAGCCACGGCUAACUACGUG
RNAcentral lists this ribosomal RNA (476 nucleotides) under uncultured bacterium. RNAcentral's name for it is "bacterial SSU rRNA". It matches the Rfam family "Bacterial small subunit ribosomal RNA", at positions 28 to 507 of the family's 1533-position model. The record is from RNAcentral.